RNAcentral lists this long non-coding RNA (516 nucleotides) under Haliotis rufescens (red abalone). Its description in RNAcentral is "uncharacterized LOC124151781, transcript variant X2". The record is from RNAcentral. Lineage: Eukaryota; Metazoa; Mollusca; Gastropoda; Lepetellida; Haliotidae.
GGUGUUUAUAUACUGCCCAUCCCACAUGUUCCUGCCUCGCUGCAUCACCGCCUCGCUGCUUCACUGCAUCACUGCAUCACUCCAUCACUGCAUCACGCAUAGCUGUGAGGACAGGACCAUAGUGACUGUUUGAUUGGCAUUCUAGAGCUCCCACAGGAAGAGAUCAUGCGCCUGCCUCUAGUGUUUCUUCUCCUGGCACUGGUCACGCUACCCGACACAGAGGGAUGGUUGCGCGCGAACCGAAGACAUCGGAUAUGGAACAGGAUCAAAUGUGCAUUCGUGCGCUGUGAAAGGAGAGUUCAAGGACGUGAUGUCGAUGCAAAUAACGAUGAUGCAAUCGACCAAACUGAAGCAGAAAAUGUUAUUGACGCACGUGCUGUGAAGGAUGUACUUUCUCUUGCGGAUGAUGAUGCUGAUCUGAGACGAGCGGUCGAAGACGAGGAGGAUGUCGAGAGUCACGUCAACCAGUAGUGUUGUCAUGGCAGCAUGUCCUGGAUAAAUAAACUUGCAAACUGU